AAAGGAUUAGAUACCCCUGUAGUCCUGGCCGUAAACGAUGAACACUAGGUGUCGGGGAAAUCGACCCCUCGGUGUCGUAGCCAACGCGUUAAGUGUUCCGCCUUGGGGAGUACGCACGCAAGUGUGAAACUCAAAGGAAUUGACGGGGGCCCGCACAAGCGGUGGAGUAUGUGGUUUAAUUCAAUGCAACGCGAAGAACCUUACCAGGGUUUGACAUCCUGCGAAUCUCUUGGAAACAGGAGAGUGCCUUCGGGAACGCAGUGACAGGUGGUGCAUGGCUGUCGUCAGCUCGUGUCGUGAGAUGUUGGGUUAAGUCCCGCAACGAGCGCAACCCACGUCUUUAGUUGCCAGCAUUCAGUUGGGCACUCUAGAGAGACUGCCGGUGAUAAACCGGAGGAAGGUGUGGAUGACGUCAAGUCAUCAUGCCGCCUUACAUCCUGGGCUACACACGUACUACAAUGCUACGGACAAAGGGCUGCAAGUUCGCGAGGACAAGCAAAUCCCAUAAACCGUGGCUCAGUUCAGAUCGUAGAGAGAUGCAACUCGCCUACGUGAAGGCGGAAUCGCUAGUAAUCGCAGGUCAGCAUACUGCGGUGAAUACGUUCCCGGGCCUU
Molecule: ribosomal RNA, 614 nt
Filed under: uncultured marine cyanobacterium
Lineage: Bacteria; Bacillati; Cyanobacteriota
Description: bacterial SSU rRNA
Rfam family: Bacterial small subunit ribosomal RNA
Source: RNAcentral